GGCGUGUCUCGAGCCUCGCUGCUGCGGCGCGUCAUCUAUUGUUUCGACCCGAGUCGGUCACUCAUCCAAAAUGUUCCACAGGCAAACACUCUACUCACUACAAGCAACUGAGUGAUGGGCCAGUGCUGGCCCACACUUACCACUUCAUUUGGCCCACAUACCGGAAUGAUGCCACAGAACAUAGCCGCAACUCAACAUUGAUUAGUCACAGGCUACUAACCGUCAGCUGUUUUCGGUACACUGGGUCGAAUGGAAGUCCUCCAUGGUCUCCAACCUCUCAACACGGG
Molecule: long non-coding RNA, 287 nt
Organism: Anguilla anguilla (European eel)
Lineage: Eukaryota; Metazoa; Chordata; Actinopteri; Anguilliformes; Anguillidae
Exons: 3
Source: RefSeq, a predicted model, not a curated record